AUUGAACGCUGGCGGCAGGCCUAACACAUGCAAGUCGAACGGCAGCGGAGGGUAGCUUGCUACCCCGCCGGCGAGUGGCGGACGGGUGAGUAAUGCCUGGGGAGCUGCCCAAUCGAGGGGGAUACCAGUUGGAAACGACUGCUAAUACCGCAUACGCCCUGAGGGGGAAAGGUGGGGAUCUUCGGACCUACCGCGAUUGGAUGCACCCAGGUGGGAUUAGCUAGUUGGUGAGGUAACGGCUCACCAAGGCGACGAUCUCUAGCUGGUCUGAGAGGAUGACCAGCCACCCUGGAAAUGAGACACGGUCCAGACUCCUACGGGAGGCAGCAGUGGGGAAUAUUGCACAAUGGGGGAAACCCUGAUGCAGCCAUGCCGCGUGUGUGAAGAAGGCCUUCGGGUUGUAAAGCACUUUCAGCGAGGAGGAAAGGGGUGAUGCUAAUACCAUCAUCCUGUGACGUUACUCGCAGAAGAAGCACCGGCUAACUCCGUGCCAGCCGCCGCCGUAA
RNAcentral lists this ribosomal RNA (506 nucleotides) under uncultured bacterium. Its description in RNAcentral is "partial 16S ribosomal RNA". It matches the Rfam family "Bacterial small subunit ribosomal RNA", at positions 29 to 523 of the family's 1533-position model. The record is from RNAcentral.